GGCCGUUGCGUUCACAGAUGUUGCUUUCAUUUCCAUCUCCCAACUCGGACCCUGGAAAGCAAGAUCAUCUCUCAGGCUGCGGAGCCCUAGCGGAGUGGGAUCUGCCACGAAGGGCCACGGCACUGCUGCCCCUGCCCCCCUCCCCAAGUCUCCAGCCCCGGUGACCGGCCAGCUGCCACACAAGCGCACACACAACCACGCACACCCACGCAUGCACGCACACAUGCACGCACACACGCGCUACACUCCCUCCAACAGUGUGGUGGACAGAGACCCGCAGUCUUUCAGAGAUCAAAUUGGCUGGCAGCAGAGGGUCAUGUGAUGAGGGCUGGGAGAGCAGAGAGGCAGUGAGACGGGCAGUGGGGUCCUAGUGGAGGAGGUAGGGUGGGGUGGGGGGCUUUUCUUUAUUCUUGGGGAAACACUUGUUCUCAAUAUAUUUCUUUUCCCACUGGCUCGAGUGAGCGCUUCCUGACUCUUUGGAAGCGGAGUGCGUAAUCGCCAUUCCUCCAUCCCUACCUGGGCCGGCUCAGCUUCUAUCUCCACCACAAGGAAGCCCCAGCCCCAUGAGCGGCCCCCAUUUUUCACCCCCUCCUGUUAUUUCCCCCAAAGCUAGUUGCCCUGACUUGCAUGUAUGGGGGGAGGUGCCCUGGACCAGACUUUAGCUUGAAAGCCCUCCUGCUUGCUCCUACCCACACCUGUCUUGGUGGCUGCAGAAAGUAUUGUUCCCCUCCCUGGCCUUGGACUUGGCUGUGGUGACAGUGAUUGUGCCAGCUGGGAAGCCAUCGUGUGUGGGGCAGGGUCACAGAGCGGUGGGCCAGGUUGUUAGCCAGGGACUCUCCCCCAGCUGCCCUUCCCUCUGUGCCACCUCUGGCAUUUGCGUGUGGCUUCAGUCCCCAGGUGCAGGGGACGGGGUGCUCAGUGAGAAGGUUGGCAUGGACACUGCAGAGCCACAGAGAGGCUGGCAUCUCUUUGUGCCACCUGGUGUGCCCUGAUGUUUUGCCUUUUUUCCUCCCUGUUUACCUGCAUUGAGCUAGGGCAGCAGGUCACAGUUGUGACUCAGCUCUGGCAACACGUCUUAACAAAGUGCUGCCAGCCAGGCGAGUUAUGCCAGGCUGCUGGGGACCAAAGAAGAGUGUGGCCCGGGGGGAGGGCAGGAGGCAUGUGGAUCUGCCUCUGGCUGCCCUGGCUCUUGUCUUGAUCAUGGCUGGGGCGGGAAGCCAGGCGAGGGCUGCGUCUGGCCAGUGUGCCAGGACUGUCCCUCUGUUCACGGCUGCCCCUGCCAGUGCCUGGGGUGUGUGCAGGGCUGGGGGUAGGUAGAGAGGGCCUAGACCUGUUUCCAGGGGUGGAACUGGAAAUCAGUCCCUACACUGGGACUGGGACUGGGACUUGGACUGGGAAGGGGGUGGAUCCUAGAACCAGUCCCAGCUUCGUGAAGAGGGUGGUAAAUGACAUCAGAGGACCAUCUGCUCCUUUCCUGCCUCUGGAGAAGUCACUCUCCCCUGGGGCUCAGGCUUGGAGGCCCUAGGUGCCCCUUCCUCAUCCCCAAGCAGGGGUCGGGGUGAGGGGGCUCUCCAUGGCUCAGCGCUUCCCGGCGCGGCAGGGCAGCAGUGGCUCUCACUCGCCACUAGGGGUCGCCCCUGCCCAGUCGGAACUACCCGGGCGCGCCCGGCCGCCGCAGGUUGCCCGAACCGGGAAGAGCGCGGGCGUCUCCGGGGCUGGGGCUGGGGAAGGGCGCGGCGCCGAGGCUCUGUCCCGAGGCUCUGGCCACUGAGUCCUCCCGGCCGACCCGCGAGGGUCCGUUUGGGAGGAGGGGCUCUCGCCGGAUGCCGCCCGGGGACCCGCGAGGCCGGGCGCAGAGGGGGUGUGUGCGCCCGCACACAAAGGUCCUUCCUGGAGCUGAGCGCUCCCUGCCGGCUCUCCCUUCCCCGUCGCCAGAGGGGGAGCCGCCGCUCAGGGGCGGCCCAGGCGAAGGCGCCGCGGCGGCCGCCCCCGGUGGCCCCAGGGCCUUGCGCGGGCGCGAGGGGGCGCUGGGCACUCAACCGGCUCGGCCGGAUCCCCGCGGUCGCGCGGGACUAGGACUCUGCGGGUUUCUUUUGUGAACGGAGGGAAGGGCCCUCCGCCCUCUGAAAAUGGUCAGCCCGGGUUCUCGGGACUGCGUGCCCCGAAUAACAGAUUGUGUUCUCUCGGGUCGCCCUCUGGGCCCCACCCUGCGGAGCUUGGAGCUGGUUCAGCUUCUCCGCCGGGCGGGUCUGUUGGGGGUUCCCCAAAGCAUCACCGUGAGCGGCGGCGUCAGGAUCACCAGGGGCCCACCCCGUCGCCUGAAUCGGAAUCUCUGGGAGGGGCCCAGGAAUCUGUAUUUUUGGGACCCAGGCACAUGCAAGUGGCCUCGUAAGUUCUCUCUAGGCUGAGAGGAGCUGGAAGCCUCCACCAAGGAUAAGCUGCUUUGAGGAUCUCGUAAGGGAUCUUGUGUACAUAAUGGAGCCUCCUGGGAUUGGUUCGUUAAGACUGUGAGCUCCUUAAGGAUGAGCACCCCCAUGUCUUAGCCAGCCUGCGUGUUGCCCCAAAUUCUCCUGCAGGACAACUAAUAAUCGCCUCAUGUGAUUGGCAGGGCUUGAGAAGAUGCCUUCAGCUGAAACUACGGGGAAUGCUAGAAGCGGAACAUUUUUUUUUUUUACUUGUGCUGAACACCCAAGAUGACUUAAGAUAACAGGUUAUUUUGCUUUCUUGUUCAAAAAAGUGCUUUCUUCCAAGCAGCACAUUUCUUAAAUGAUUUCCAAAAUGAUUUCCAUAACCAUGCCUCCUCUAACUGAGUUCUCAGCAAACUGAAGUAAUAAAGCUGAAAAACCAGAGACUGUUUUACUGGGUCUGGCAGUGAGGAAAACACUGCCGGUAGCACAGACGGAGUCCUCUGAUUCUGGGUAUUUUGAACGUCAGUAUCUGCAACUGUAAAAUGGUAGCGAACACAGUAACUGCAACCAUCUUUGGAGUUAUUGUGAACUUUCGCGAUGAUGCAUGUAAAUGGCCUCAGUGGUGCUUAUUAGCUGCUAAAAAUGGUAGCUGUUGCUUCACCAUAAAUAGUGCUAAUACUACUGCUAAUAAUAAUUGGAUAUCUGAAGCCACUUCCCUGAGAGAACUGAAUUUGACCAGAAAUGUGUUGUGCAGGCUUUAUAGGUUGAAAAUAACAUACUUGUCAGCCUUCAUUCCUGUGUAAUUCUUGCCAAUUCUCUUCCUUAAUCCUCUUAUAAAAUCCAAAAGGUAAAUAGCAACUCUUUUUCUUGUAAUUUGUUCAACAAAUGCCUUUGCUGUGUAAUGAUCUGAGGGCUCCCAAAGAUGAGCAAGAUGUUUUGGCCCAAGAGGGUCCUCACCAAGACAUGUUAAACUUAGCAAUUUGCAAGAAGACCAAGUUACAUUUACCCUGAAAGGUGCAAGAUAACUUCCUCACCAGGUGGUAGGACAGGCCCUUUGCCUCGCAGAGAAUGGAGGGAGUUGUGUUCAGGAGUUUCACUGCCAGGCAACGCAACAUCCUAAAGUUAGUGGGUGAAUUUUGGGAAGACAAUGGCUAGCUUUGGAGGACGGAAAACCCGUACCUUCUAGCAUCUGGGCCAAGGGAUGCCUCCAGGAGCAAGGAGAGCAAACAGCUGUUUACAGAAAAGGUGUCCACCUCUGUUCUCUUGACAGUGCUGAGACACUGACUGUUGACUGACGAAUUCUUAAUUUGACCAGGAGGGGGAAAAAAGGUAGCAAUCUUAUAUUUACACAAGACCCUGACAACUGAGAACCGAGUCCAUUUGACGGUCCGCAUUAAUUCCAUGCACCCGAUAACUGUUCACUUCCUCACAGCACCUGCCAUACACAGACAUGGUUCUGGGUAAAGUCGAAAAGAAAGGUGAAAUACAGUUCUGACCUUUACCCCUCCCCCACCCGAUCUUGACUUUGAUGCCAAGGAGGUGCCAAGAUUCUGCCUAAGAGAUGCCUUUUUUAAAAAAAUGUAUUACUUUCUUUAGAUCACUGGAAGAAUUACAGCUUAAUCACAAGAGCUGGCGUGGCCUUGGUGUAAUAGGCAGCUUUCUGUACAAUCGCAAAUAAUAGGCCUGUCUGAGUGUGCUGGAAAUGUGUGUUGCCUGGCAUCCCAAGAGGGGAUCUUAAUUAAAGCCUAAUUAUGUACCAUAAAUACUUUUAUUGGGGGACCCAGGAGGUAGGGGUUUUUGAUUUGGGGAGAUGUAGUGCCUAAUAGGUAGUCAGGGAACGAAGUGUAAACAGCCACGGAGCCCUUUAAUUUGUCCCUCCUCCGUGUGGUUCUGAAUGGGCUUUCAGAUCCAGCCUGUGCUUCCCCAAAGGCCCGCCCCGGGGCCACCCCGUCAGGGCCACCUCUGUGCACAGUCACCGAGCCAGGGCUAUGAUCAGACACGGAAGAGCCGGCUCGGUUCUGGUGGUGCCGGAACAGGAGGGAAGAAAUCAAAUGAGUCUCGAGAGAUGGUGGGAUUUUAUUGGUUGCUCACUCCUGAAGUGCUAGCAGGCUCAGUGAAGUGGCAGCAGCUGUCCCGUCUUCCUGCUCCCUGCGCCACACCUCCUGCUGCUGUUCACAGCGCUGCCCUCUGCCCGGGCCCCCCUUCCGCCCACCUGCCUUCUUCUGGAAGCUCGAAGUCCCCCCCACCCCGCCCCCUGUGGCCUCCACUGUGCUGUGUGCCCUGCCAAGGGCGACUUACCACACGAGGUGUCCUAGGGGCAGCCGUCCUGGUUCCUGCCCGGGAGGCAUCUGACUUGGGUCUCAAAGUCACGGAAGACCCGGAAUUCGCCCGGCGCAAAUGGCACCACUAUCACACCCCUUUCCAGCCUAUCGUCUCCGGCGUUCCUGACAGAUGCAGGAAAGUUCUUCCCCACUAAGUUCCCAUGUGGAAGCUCGUGGUCCCUUCUCCUCUCCCACAGCCAGUCUAAUUAGCUGUUCUGGCAGCAACAUAUGGUGGCUGCAGGGUCUCACUCACAUAGGGCUCUCUCCCCCGAUCUUCCAGCUGCCCCAGGUUGGGAGGUUGUGGUCAUGCCCUAAUCUGGCCUUUCUGCUGCAAGGGGGAAGCUCGACGAACGAGAAGGAAGCAGGGAGAUCCUGGUGGGCUCACGGGAAGGGAGAGCGAGCGAGGGGGGAGAAGCAGGUGGAUGGGGGCGGGGGUGUGUGUCCACGUGGAGUUAAUGAUUUGUUCCUAACCUCGCGCUCAAUCUGCCGACCCGGCUGGAGGCAGAAUACGGCCCCCCUCAUGCAUGACAGAUUUCUCAGCUCUGCCACUCACCAACUGGGUCACCUUGGAUCAAUGGCUUACCUCCUCAGAACCUGUUUCCUCGCCUGCUGGAGGAGGCAGGUGCUUUCUCUAGCCCCGCCCCUCUGAGGGUGGUCCUGAGACCCGCAGCUGCUUAGAAAUGCAGGCUCUCCGCCUACCCCAACCUACUGAAGUGGAACUGGCAGUUUAUCAAGGUCCCCAGGUGUUUCUCAAUAUCUUUAAAAGUUUGAGAAGCCAGGCGAUAAGACCUUUUUCCAAACCUCUGCCAUGAGAAUCACCUGUGGAGCCUAUUUAAAGACCACUUUGCAGGUGCCUUCAUUGGAGAGUCUGUUGCACCGGGCCAGGAACCGGAACCAGGGCAAGAUUUUGGAAGCAGGCUCACCGGACUUCAUCCAGAUCCGUUUUCCUGGCACAUAACUGGCGGGACUCUGCCCGGGCUCCAGAUGGUGAAAGUAUCAGAAUCCUAUCCCGAUUAGCAGAGCAAACGGUGCUCUUGGAAAACUGACAGCUGAUCUUCAUCUUCUUUGCCAAGAAAUGUGGUGACAACGUGUCCUCAGUCCUUGAGAGCUGCGCUUUGGGAACAGUCCCCUGCCCAGCAAGGAUGCAGGAUCUUGGAAGACGAGGAGGGUCCAUGAUGGAUUUCUUCAUUGAAGGUUACUAUCCUCCAAGUCCUGGGCUGAACGCUUUCAUCGUUUUCUAUGGGGACAUCUCCUAACCCUUCUCUGUAAUGUCCUUAAGACAAAAGGCAAAAUAGCCUGCGAUGCUCCUGUCAUCCCAGUCAACUCCUCUGUGCAAGGUGUGUUCUGGGAACACUGUUUCCUGUUCAUACAGAGAGACUGUUUGCUUCUCUUUGUUGUUGUUGUUGUUUAGGGCCACACCCAUAGUGUGUGGAGGUUCCCAGGUUAGGGGUUGAAUCGGAGCUGUAGCUGCCAGCCUAUGCCACAGCAAUGCCAGAUCCAAGCCAUGUCUGCAACCUACACCACAGCUCUUGGCAAUGCCAGAUCCUUAACCCACUGAGUGAGUCCAGGGAUUGAACCUGCAUCCUCAUGGAUAUGAGUCAGAUUCAUUUCUUCUGAGCCGCAACGGGAACUCCUGCUUUGCUUCUUAAUCUACUAAGUCAUCCAGUGUCUAGCUGGUCCUGCAGAGCUGCGGUUUCUUUCCCUGUUAAAUUCUAAUCUGAUUAAACAGGUUGCAGGGUUGUAGGUAACUUUGAAAAGGGUCUAAAAUUAAAUUGCUAUAUUAGGUUGGUUUAUAGAAAUGUGGCCUGGGAUGUGACUGAGGGGGGAGAAGGAAUUCUGGAAGCCUCGGGAGCUGCACCUCCGUUGACUGCUGCUGGAGCAUCAUUUGCAAGAAAAGCUGGACACCAAGGCCAUUUAUACUGAAUCUAAUGUUAGUAUGACACUUGAGAGGCUCAGCCGUCCUCACAAUGAUCCUGUGAGAUAAGCAUAAUAAUGAGGAGCUCCUUGAUGGGAAAUUGAAGUACUUUAGAAGUAAAGUGCUUUGCCUGAAUUCACAGGGUGACGAGGGACAGAGCUGGCCCCCCAUGAUAAAGUGUUCUUUGUACUAUGUCACGCCACUGACUUAAAUGUAUUUAGGAGGUACCGUUUAAAGCGGUAAAGAAAGCCUCAGCACAGGCUUGAUAGCAAUUGUUUUAUCUUGAAUUGAGAUUAAACACAGUCUGCAUCACCAGCCGUGAAAGCCACUGGCUGGAGGGAGGAGGUUGCGCCAUAAUGGAGUGGCUACCAUGUUAACUGUGCAUUGGGGGAUCUGCCUACCCUCGGGCAGGUGUCUGGAAAUGAUAUCUUCAUACUGAAUCUAUUACUUGAUGGUAAAUGCCUGGCUUAUUCCAGGCCCAUCAGAAUUGUGAUGCUCUGAGACUGGGUUGAGGAAUGAACGAGUGAUGGAAAUCGCAACACGAGUGUCAAAAUUUGAUGGUAGCCUGCUUCACGUAGUGAUUGUACAGGGGAAAAAUGCCCAUGGGUUAAGCAAUCCACUCUCAUACAACCCACUCGAUCACGGAGUGAACCUGCCUUCUCAAAUCAGAGGUAAAGCGUUCCGUGGCGUUUUCAGGCAGGGCAAUCUCUAGAAGGACCUUACUCAGGGAAUGUACCCCAAGGGAAGAGGGCAUGGGUUGGGUUUAUUCCAUCUCAUUGAACUGUUUCUUCCUCCUGCCCCUUUGUGACUGAGAGGAUCUUUUGCAACUCUGGCGUCUGAUGUGACAUUCCCUACACUGAGCUCCGGAAGUUGGAUCAGUUUGUCUUGGGUUUUCCUUUAGAAGGUGCCAGCAUUUUUAUCCUGGGAAACCAGCCCCAGCAUCUGCCUGGCUUUGGGGAGGGGCCCUGUAGAAAGAGGUUUGAUAAAUUCUGCAUUCCCUCAGGAUUGCAGAUAUAGCAGGGCAGACUCAGACUACGAAGGUUUAAGAACAACCAGAUUUUCACAGAAAUUGGGGUGGGUGUCCAAACCUGGGGGACUCUCCAAACCAACCCAGGGUCCUGGCAGUUGAAGAUUUCUGGGAUUGGGUUUGAGAUGCUUAAGGGUUUUCUGGCUUCAUUUAUACCAAGCAAAAAUGGAAGGAUUGAGUGAGGAGGGACUGGUAUUAUCAGGACCCAGCCAGAUGGCUGUUGAGAGGGAUGCAUUUGGUGACAUUUCCCCCUCUCCCUGCCCUUCCUGUGCUGCUGUAUCCAGAGGCAAACCCUCCAGGAUUCCCCAAAGAGUAUCAAUAAUGCAGGGAGCAAAGCAAAGCUGAAUUUCACUGUGGAAAAUUCUGAUUUUGUUCGUCUUCUUGAUAGAGAAGAUGCAAGCUUGCAGGGCACUUGUGCAAUCAAUACCCAAACCUUUGAGGAUAGCAUCAUCUGAAAGACUUGAGAGUAUUCAGUACUGUUGUUUCGAGUUCUCUGACAUAUGGAGGUGUGGUGACACAGAACAAACGUGGAAAAUCCUGUCCCGUGCUUUAGAAAUUGCCAGUUUUGGGAAUGUUACCACCUUGUGGUCUUUAUUUCGUAAUUACUUUUAUAUGUACAACUGUGUCUUUUUUUUUUCUAAGAUGUGGUCUGGGUAUUUUGCAAUGAUGAUUUAAAGAAGGAAUAAUUUUUCUAGCAAAAAAGAAGGAAAGUAUAGGAAUCUGUCACCUGCUCGUCCUCCCAAACAAAGUUUGUGAAGAGGAGCGUAAAACUUCUAGUUCUAAAAUAUCCCAAAUGCAUGAGGAUUCCUUUACAGAAUGGCCGAGUCUUUGCAUGAAAAUGGAAGAACCCAGCUGCCCAUUUGUUUAGUAAUUCCCAUCUAGGAAAAUUGCUACAUGCUACUGUUUGCAAUGACAUUAAAAAAAAAAAAA
This is a non-coding RNA of Sus scrofa (pig), 8601 nucleotides long. NCBI's taxonomy places the organism in Eukaryota, Metazoa, Chordata, Mammalia, Artiodactyla, Suidae. The record is from RefSeq and is a predicted model, not a curated record.